Hevea brasiliensis (rubber tree) is the source of this 4602-nucleotide long non-coding RNA. RefSeq lists it as uncharacterized. The transcript has 3 exons. The record is from RefSeq and is a predicted model, not a curated record. Lineage: Eukaryota; Viridiplantae; Streptophyta; Magnoliopsida; Malpighiales; Euphorbiaceae.
GAGUUUAUUGGCGUGAACAGUAGAGUUCUGGGUAAUUUUUUUUUUGGGUCAAGCUUCGACGACGUUCUAGGAAGGGGCGUGACUGUCACUACCCACUUGAGAAGGAAAGACACCAGCCGAUCAGCCUACGCCCGGAGUCCCGCUGCCGUCCGGUGAAGUGUGUGAGCUCACGCGCCUCCAGAAGUCUCGUGUCAUUCUUCACGCGCCGGCGUGUGCACCCUUUUUUUCUGUGAUUUCUCCGGCAGCGCCUCUUGCCGACGACCUUCCCUGUCCAACGUGCCUCUGACCAACGUGUUUUCACGCCUGGUUUGCACAUUUAAUUUUUUUUUUUGUUACUUUCCGUUGCCCAGUUUCUUGCUUUCUGUCUCGGUACCUAUUUCUUUAAUUGAAAAAUGACUGAUGAAAAGAAAACCUCUGAAACAAAGGCUGGAUUUGUUGGUGAUAAUCCCUUUUUACAAAUUAGUUCUGUAAAGUUGGAUGGAAUUAAUUAUUUGGCAUGAUCUAGAUCUUGUCUACUGUUCAUUCAGGCUAGAGGAUUGCAGGGGUAUAUUAAUGGAGAUAGAAAAAAGCCAGAAAGUACUAGUUCUACCUACAGUUAGUGAGAGUCGGAGAACUCUCUUGUUAUGUUAUAGCUCAUCAAUUCUAUGCAACCUCAUAUAGCUCGUGGGUAUUUACUAUUGGACAGUGCCGCUACCAUUUAGAGUGUUGUUUCUUAGACUUAUUCUCAAGUUGGGAAUGAUGCACAAGUUUAUGAGCUUAGGAACAAGAUUCAUGGAACGAAACAAGGACUUUCAGGCUUCAUCAGCAGUUAAGUUCUAGAAAUUGGUUGAGAAGGAGCGCAUAUAUGAUUUUCUUGCUGGGCUAAAUGUGGAGUAUGAUCAGAUUCGGGUCCAAGUGCUUGGUAAGGAUCCUUUGCCCACCUUAAGGCAGACAUACUCUUAUGUUCAGCAGAAGGAGAGUAGAAAGAGUGUCAUGAUCAAUUCUACACCUGUUGAUAAGGCUUGGUUGGCUGCUAACUCCUUACGAGAAUAGUUAUGUGGUCCAUCAGAUAAGGAUCACUUGCAUUAUGACUACUGUGGGAAAUCUCGGCACACCAAAGAACAAUGUUGGAAGCUGCAUGGCCGCCCAACUAAAGGGCGUGGGGGAAAAAGGAUGGGCUUUGUUAGAUCACAAGCAAAUGUAUCUGAGGCUGUGAGUGUUUCUGAAGAUACUGCUAUCACUUGGAUGUUUUCCAAUGAAGAGGUACAGACUCUGAGACGAUUCCUAUUAUAGCUUGAAUCAGAAUCCACUACAGCUGCCUCUUCUAACUUCGUUAACUCAGGUAAUGCUUUUCUUGCCAAUCAUAAUAAUUCAUUUUGGGUUAUAGAUUUUGGAGCAAACAAACAUAUGACAGGCUCUUUGAAUAAAUUCAUAUCCUAUUCUCCAUGUUCAGGCAAAGAAAAAGUCCGCAUUGCGGAUGGAUCCUUAUCUAAUGUUUCUGGAACAGGUUCUGUUAAAUGCACUCUUAAUGUAAGUCUUAGUUCUGUCUUACAUGUGCCUAGCUUUCCUAUUAACCUUUUAUCUGUCAGUUCUAUCACAAAAGCUCUCAACUGCAAAAUUGAAUUUUUUUCCCACUCACUAUGUGUUUCACGAGUUGAUAAUAGAGAGAACAAUUGACAGUGGUAGACUGCAAGAUGAGCUAUAUCUAUUGAAUGAUUGUGUUGAUCAGGUCAUGUCGGAACAGUCUAUGGGUGCUGAGGAAGAAAUUAUUCAGUGGCAUAGGAGAUUUGGACAUCCUUCAUUUACUGUUUUAGAAAAACUCUAUCAUCUUUUAUUUAAGCAAUGCAAAACUGAAUUGUUAGUAUGUGAUGCUUGUGAGUUUGCCAAAUAUACUAAACAAUCUUAUCCUGCAAUAAAUAAUAAGGUUUCAGUUCGUUUUAUGACUAUCUAUUCUGAUGUGUGAGGGCCUACUCAAACUGUGUCUUUAUCAGGUUAUAGAUGGUUUGUGACCUUUAUUGAUUGUUGCAGUAGGUUAACUUGGGUAUAUCUGAUGAAAGGAAAAAAUGAAGUAUUUUUAUGUUUUCAACAGUUUCACAAAAUGAUUAGCACCCAAUUUGAUGCUCAUGUUAAAAUACUAAGAACUGAUAAUGGCACAAAGUAUAUGAAUGGAGUUUUUCAGAAAUAUUGAAGUCACACGGAAUUUUGCAUUAGACUAGUUGUGUUACCACUAGUGCUCAAAAUGGAGUGUCUGAGAGAAAAAAUAGACAUUUAAUUGAGGUUGCUAGGUCUCUUAUGUUUACAAUGAAUAUUCCUAAACCUUAUUGGGGGGAUGCAAUUCUUUCUGUUGCAUAUCUUAUAAACAGGAUGCCACUCCGGACUUUGGAGUUUAAGAGUCCUUUAGAGGUUUUACAAGGUAAAAAUUCAUAUACUGUUCCUCCAAAGGACUUUAGUUAUGUUAGCUUUGUUCAUCAGCCUAAUAGGAGGAAGUUAGAACCUCGAGCCCUCAAGUUUGUCUUUGUUGUUUAUUCUAGUACUGAGAAGGGGUAUAAGUAUUACCACCCUCUUACACGGAAAUAUUUUUGUGAGCAUGGAUGUUAUCUUUAGGGAAUCUGAAUCUUAUUUCCAUCCACCUUUUUAGGGGGAGCAUAGGAAGGAAGAAGAGGUGUCUUUCCCUUUCCCUUCUUCUUUGUGCUCUCUCAAACUUUCAACUUCAAAGGGAAAAUCUGGGUCUAAAGCCUAUACCUAAUAAUGAUACUUAGGGGGAGUCACCUAAAUCUCGAGGGAGACUGAAUAAACCAGAUUUGAGAAUCUAUACUCGGCGGAACAAGACAGAUAUAGCCAUCGAGCAGUAGACUGUUGAUCAACCGGAAUCUCUGGAUUCAAUUCCUGAACAUCCUGAGGAUUGGAAGAAAGCAUAUCUUGAUCCAAAAUGGAAGGCAGCCAUGGUGGAGGAGAUAAAAGCUCUAGCAAAUAAUGAGACAUGGGAACUUGUUACUCUUCCACUGGGAAAAAAACCAGUUGGAUGCAAGUGGGUGUUCACUGUGAAACAUAGAGCAGAUGGUUCAAUUGAAAGGUAUAAGGUUAGGCUAGUAGCAAAAGGCUUCACGCAGACGUAUGGGGUAAAUUACUAGGAAACGUUUGCUCUUGUUGCUAAAAUGAAUACCAUCAGAAUUUUACUAUCAUGUGCAGUAAAUCUUGAGUGAGAUUUGCAGCAGUUUGAUGUAAAAAAAUGCCUUUCUACAUGGUGAUUUGGAAGAAGAAGUAUAUAUGGAAAUCCCUCCAGGGUUUGAGAAUGGGAAGACCAAAGGAAAGGUUUGCAGAUUGAAGAAAGCACUGUAUGGUUUAAAACAGUCACCUAGCGCAUGGUUUGAUAGGUUUAGUAAGGCUAUGGUUUCUUUUGGAUAUUGCCAAAGCAAUGCUGAUCACACCUUGUUUAUAAAACACUAUAGGGGUAAGAUCACUUUGCUUAUUGUCUAUGUGGAUGAUAUCGUGGUAAUUGGUAAUGAUAGGGGAGAAAUGAUUCAUCUAAAGGAACAACUAGCACAGGAGUUUGAAAUCAAAGAUUUGUGAAGGCUAAAGUACUUUCUUGGAAUAAAGGUUGCCAGAUCAGAUAAAGGAAUCUUUAUUUCUCAAAGGAAGUACAUACUAGAUUUGUUGGAGGAAAUAGGAAUGCUAGGUUGUAAACUAGCAGAGUCUCCCAUUGAGGCAAAUCACAAAUUGCAAGUUGGAGUUGGGGAAUCCGUGGAUAUUGGGAGAUAUCAGAGGUUGGUUGGCAGAUUGAUUUACCUUUCGCAUAUCAUACCAGAUAUAGCAUAUGCAGUAGGUUUAGUGAGUCAAUAUAUGCAUGAUUCUCGUGAAUCUCAUUUGGAGGCUAUUUUCCGCAUCUUACGAUGCUUAAAAUCUGCACCUGGGAAAUGACUUCUUUUCUCAAAGCAUGGCCAUCUUCAGAUUAAGGCCUUUACAGGUGUAGAUUGGGGUGAAUCUCUUGAUGAUAGGAGAUCGACAUCUGGUUACUGUACUUUUGUUGGUGGUAAUCUAGUCACUUGGAGAAGCAAGAAACAAAAUGUGACAGCUAGAUUCAGUGCAGAGGUUGAGUUUAGAGCAAUGGCUCAAGGUAUUUGUGAACUAUUGUGGUUACAAAAGUUGAUGGAGGAAUUAAAAUUGCUGGAAACUAGUGGUUUGUCCCUGUUCUGUGAUAACAAAGUUGCCAGCAGUAUAGUUCACAAUCCAGUUCAACAUGAUCGGACCAAGCAUAUAGAGAUUGACAGACACUUCAUAAAAAAAAAAAAGUUGUCAAUGUUUCCUUAAGUAUUUCUUACGUAGGGUCAAAAGACCAGUUAGCUGAUGUGUUCACUAAGGGUUUAAGUUGUAAGGGGUUUCAUACCCUAGUUUGCAAGUUGGGCAUGUGCAACAUACAUGAAUCAACUUGAGGGGGAGUGUUAGAAUCCCUCAAUUAGUGUAAAUCUCUUAAUCAGUGUAAAUUAGCUGUAAAUUAUAAUAUAAUUAGGAAUCAUUGUUUUAUUAGCUAUUAUUAGUUUCCUAGUUAGUCCUAUCCUUUGUAUAUAAAUUAGAAUGUUUGUAAAUCAUUUUAGUAUGAAGAAAUAUAAAAGAAAAUUUUUCAAA